GCGACCCAAUGAAUGUGGAGAGUAAUGGGACGCAACGAAGGGGCCGGCGAAGGGGCCUCAGUUUUCCCAGAUGACAGGCUGACAGACUAGAGCUGGAGGGACCUCAGGUCACUUAGCCCAAUCCCCUUUUUUCACAGCAGUCCAGAGGCUAAAGGGCCCCCAAAAAGGUGGCCGUCCAGUCACUCAGACGCUCCACGAGCCCGUUGCCAAUAUCAGCUUCCCCGUCCUGGAGUUUCCUCGGCCCAGAAACUGGGGCCUGUCAGCCAGCGAGUAUUUGAGGUCAAAUCUGACCCAGGGCUCCUCGGCUCCGGGCCGACCGGAUACAAACUAAGCGGCAAAUGCAAGCACCGAACGCUGGUCUUCGGUCAGCAAAUGAAUGCUCCUUCCGCUGCCUGAAGCCGGGCUCCCACAGCAUCCCAAAGCGCAUCUCCCGCCUCUACUUCUCUUGGGGCCGAGAGAGACGAGCUCUGCCGCUUUAAAGGGAGACACUAAUCUCGCUCGCUCCCAAGAGUCCCCCACCACGACUGAUCCCAUAAGAGACAGCGCUCUGAGCCAAGCCCGACGCCGAGCCGCGCUUUGCCUCCUUUCCAUGAGUCCCCAGGCUCUCCUCUUGUCUGUUGCUGAAAAACACAGUAAACAGAGGAAUUGUGGUGUGUGGGUCUGCAAGAGACUUCUCUGAGGAAAAUAGGCGUGUCCACCGCCUUUCCCAAAUCAGAUGCCAGGUGGGAGACUGUUCUAGGACAGUAAACCAGCCCGAGCCACGAGAGUGUUAGCAGGAUGGUGAAGGAAUCUGAGAAGCGUUUGAGGAGGCCCUGGAGAUGUUAAGCUAAACCCUUACGAAGUUGGGUUAUUGUAAAUUGCCAUGACUUUCUGCCAUACAACAGCAUUUCAAAUAAAUAACAUAACAUUAAA
Molecule: long non-coding RNA, 912 nt
Organism: Antechinus flavipes (yellow-footed antechinus)
Lineage: Eukaryota; Metazoa; Chordata; Mammalia; Dasyuromorphia; Dasyuridae
Exons: 2
Source: RefSeq, a predicted model, not a curated record